Molecule: ribosomal RNA, 468 nt
Filed under: uncultured bacterium
Lineage: Bacteria
Description: partial 16S ribosomal RNA
Rfam family: Bacterial small subunit ribosomal RNA
Source: RNAcentral
GACGAACGCUGGCGGCGUGCUUAACACAUGCAAGUCGAACGGAAAGGCCCUGCUUUUGUGGGGUGCUCGAGUGGCGAACGGGUGAGUAACACGUGAGUAACCUGCUCUUGACUUUGGGAUAACUUCAGGAAACUGGGGCUAAUACCGGAUAGGAGCUCCUGCUGCAUGGUGGGGGUUGGAAAGUUUCGGCGGUUGGGGCUGGACUGGCGGCUUAUCAGCUUGUUGGUGGGGUAGUGGCUUACCAAGGCUGUGACGGGUAGCCGGCCUGAGAGGGUGACCGGCCACAAUGGGACUGAGAUACGGCCCAGACGCCUACGGGAGGCAGCAGUGGGGAGUAUUACACAAUGGGCGGAAGCCUGAUGCAGCAACGCCGCGUGCGGGAUGACGGCCUUCGGGUUGUAAACCGCUUUCGCCUGUGACGAAGCGUGAGUGACGGUAAUGGGUAAAGAAGCACCGGCUAACUACGUG